GAUGAACGCUGGCGGCAUGCCUAAUACAUGCAAGUCGAACGAGCUCUUCGGAGCUAGUGGCGGACGGGUGAGUAACACGUUGGUACCUACCCCGAAGUGGGGAAUAACUGCCCGAAAGGGUGGCUAAUACCGCAUAAUACCGUAAGGUUAAAGCAGUAAUGCGCUUCGGGAGGGGCCUGCGUCCCAUUAGCUAGUUGGCGGGGUAAAUGCCCACCAAGGCGACGAUGGGUAGCUGGAUCGAGAGGUUGACCAGCCACACUGGGACUGAGAUACGGCCCAGACUCCUACGGGAGGCAGCAGUAAGGAAUCUUCCACAAUGGACGAAAGUCUGAUGGAGCAAUGCCGCGUGCAGGAUGACGGCCUUCGGGUUGUAAACUGCUUUUAUAUGGGAAGAUUAUGACGGUACCAUAUGAAUAAGGACCGGCUAACUACGUGCCAGCAGCCGCGGUAA
This 451-nucleotide ribosomal RNA is filed under the name uncultured bacterium. Its description in RNAcentral is "partial 16S ribosomal RNA". It matches the Rfam family "Bacterial small subunit ribosomal RNA", at positions 28 to 523 of the family's 1533-position model. The record is from RNAcentral.